CACCUAAUAGUUUAAUUUCAAGUGGACACAUCCCGGGCUAUAUGUUAACGUAUGAGUCAUUGAUCAUCUACUUGCAUUCAUGCACACAUUAAAUAAAUUAAAUAAGUUUUUAAUAAAUAGGUAUUAAAAUAAAUACAAAACUUUAAAUGAACUUAAAUAUAAAUAGAAUUAAGAAAAUAUCAAAUAAAAUUUAGAUAAUAAAUUAUAUUAUGUUAU
Molecule: long non-coding RNA, 216 nt
Filed under: Elaeis guineensis (African oil palm)
Lineage: Eukaryota; Viridiplantae; Streptophyta; Magnoliopsida; Arecales; Arecaceae
Description: long non-coding RNA (EGUI_LNC030396)
Source: RNAcentral